Molecule: ribosomal RNA, 497 nt
Filed under: uncultured bacterium
Lineage: Bacteria
Description: partial 16S ribosomal RNA
Rfam family: Bacterial small subunit ribosomal RNA
Source: RNAcentral
GACGAACGCUGGCGGCGUGCCUAAUACAUGCAAGUAGAACGCUGAAGAGAGGAGCUUGCUCUUCUUGGAUGAGUUGCGAACGGGUGAGUAACGCGUAGGUAACCUGCCUUGUAGCGGGGGAUAACUAUUGGAAACGAUAGCUAAUACCGCAUAACAAUGGAUGACCCAUGUCAUUUAUUUGAAAGGGGCAAAUGCUCCACUACAAGAUGGACCUGCGUUGUAUUAGCUAGUAGGUGAGGUAACGGCUCACCUAGGCGACGAUACAUAGCCGACCUGAGAGGGGGAUCGGCCGCACUGGGACUGAGACACGGCCCAGACUCCUACGGGAGGCAGCAGUAGGGAAUCUUCGGCAAUGGGGGCAACCCUGACCGAGAAACGCCGCGUGAGUGAAGAAGGUUUUCGGAUCGUAAAGCUCUGUUGUAAGUCAAGAACGAGUGUGAGAGUGGAAAGUUCACACUGUGACGGUAGCUUAACAGAAAGGGACGGCUAACUACGUG